GGUAUUACGCCGGCAGAACGGAUUACAUUGAUGUUGUAAAUUAAGAGAAAUUAUCUCUAAUACCU
RNAcentral lists this transfer RNA (65 nucleotides) under Acanthopleura loochooana. RNAcentral describes it as "tRNA-Ile". The record is from RNAcentral. Lineage: Eukaryota; Metazoa; Mollusca; Polyplacophora; Chitonida; Chitonidae.